UCUCCGUAGGUGAACCUGCGGAGGGAUCAUUACAGAGUUCAUGCCCUAACGGGUAGAUCUCCCACCCUAUGUUAUUAUCACUUUGUUGCUUUGGCGGGCCGUCAGGCCUCGGCUUGGCUACCGGCUCUCGCUGGUAAGCGCCCGCCAGAGAACCCCAAACCCUGAAUAUCAGUGUCGUCUGAGUACUAUAUAAUAGUUAAAACUUUCAACAACGGAUCUCUUGGUUCUG
Molecule: unclassified non-coding RNA, 229 nt
Filed under: plant metagenome
Description: partial contains small subunit ribosomal RNA, internal transcribed spacer 1, and 5.8S ribosomal RNA
Source: RNAcentral